GUCUACGGCCAUGCUACCCUGAACAAGCGCAAUCUCGUCUGAUCUCAGAAGCUAAUCAGGGUUGGGCCUGGUUAGUACUUAGAUGCGAGACCAUCCAGGAAGACCAGGUGCCGUAGGCA
RNAcentral lists this ribosomal RNA (119 nucleotides) under Pteropus alecto (black flying fox). Lineage: Eukaryota; Metazoa; Chordata; Mammalia; Chiroptera; Pteropodidae. The record is from RNAcentral.